AGCGCUCCAAACGCUAACCAUCUCUGUAUUUUGUAUCCCCACACGAUGCAGACACGAAAACUUCUACUUUUCCUGCGCAGUGAUCGGGUGCUCGAGUUAGUUCGUGAGUUGACGUUGUAGUGGUGAGAUUCCAUACUUAUAAGGGCUUCAUUUCAUGGUUCUUAUUUCCUAUAUCUUAGACCUUGUUUAAAAUUUAUUUUAUCUACUGUAUGACAUUUUAUUGAUUUCGAUUUGUAGAGGCUUUGUUGAAUUACUGUGAACUUGAGUUGUUUGGUUGAUUGUUUCGGUGAUGAACAAAUACCCGAUUACCGAUGAAUGCUAUAGACAUAUGAUGAAUCAUUACUGAUUUUAUUUUACAUCAUCUUGUUAUAUGUUUAAAAUUCAUCCAACACUUGCAAUUGUUGUGCUUGCUAGGUUAGGUGAAGGGGGUGAUCUCUGGUCCAUGUGGAACUUGAAAUACGGCCAGUGCCUAGUUUGAUUCAUGGCACAGAUUUUUCUAUCUGUGUGGCGAUGGAGAUUGUUAAUUCCAACACUAAGAAUCAAGAAUAUGAAAGGUUAUGAUCGAUUAUGAUUUAUUUCCUAAGUAUUGCAAAACAUACAAGCUUCAAGGGCAUGAUAAAAUGGAUUGUAUAGUGUUACAUCCGGAAUUGAAUCCACCUCUCUCAUGAGAAAAAGAGAUUAAGGAUAAUCAUUCUCAAAAGGUAGAAGCUGAAGUUUCUAAGUCGAAAACUUAUGAAGGAAGGUGGAUUGUGCCAAAUUUAAAAUGAAAUCCUACAAGAAGAUUCAUUAACAAGGGACACCUAAGUGUAAGAGCUUUGAGUCCAGAUAAAGGGUUAUGUGAUAAUAACAUUUUAAAUACUUUGACAGAGGAUGGAGUAAAUACAGAGAAUACAAAUAUGCACUUAUUAAAUCAAUAAAUGUAGUGCAAGAAAUACAAAAUAACAAGAUUGAGUAGCAAUCCACAAAGGAUGGCGUAUUUCCUUUAAAAGUAGCAGUAAUAAUAACUUGAGUUGAUAAAGCCCCUGCAAAAGAUAAGAGAAGAAGUGAGCAUCAAAAAUCAGAGGCAAUUAAAGAGACUAACACUAAAUUUUGAAAUUUCAUCCAGCAGUGAAAAUAGAGAAGAAAAAAAGAGGCAAUAUCGGUUGGCACCUUCAGAUUAGCAGACUCAACUAAAGGUAAAGCUAGGAAAGAGGUGGAAAAUAUAAACAAUAAAGGAAAAGAACCAGAAAAUGCUGUGUGUCCAGAGUCAGUCUACAAGUCAAAGUGAAUCACCUGUCUGAUCUCAACAGACUAAUAGUCCAAAGAAUGUAAUGAAGUCAAGAAAGAAUGUAAUGAAGUCAAGUCUUUUACCGAAUGUGUUGAACAUUGAUAAACUGGUGGAAGAAGCAAUUCAUUUUGAACUUUUACAAAAAGCAAAACUAGGGCAUCGUAGUAGCAUUUGCAAUAAUAAGGUGGUGAGUUCAAAUAUAGAUUAUUCACCUACAAUAGCAAAAUAUAAACAAUAUCAGUAGGCUAAUAAAGGGAAGAUGUGCAGUAAUAAAAAUAAUUUGGUCCAAAAUAGUGAUAAUAAAUUUGGCAUAAUCAACUCUCCUUUAGAUAUUUAUGAAUCAUUAGCUUAGAGUGCAGAACAUCCAAAUGUUACUCUUCAUAAUAUUCUCUCUCAUAAUAUUUCAGUUGUGAAUGAAGUUGAGCUGCUAGAAGACAACCUUGAUAAGUAAUAUUAAAAGAAUAAUAUCCUUAGGUAAGAAGAUCUAUCCCCUAAAGCUAUUAAAGCUAUUAAAUCAGGAAAGAAGGGAAAAAAGCAUGGCAAUGAUAGGUUUGUUUACCUACCAGGGUUCAAUCAAAGAGAAGUGGAGUGUCUUCUAAGAAAAUGCAUAAAAUAAAGGCUAUAAUUUGGAACAUCAGAUCAGUGAAGUCACGAAAGGAUCUCCAGAGGCUUCAUUUAUUACACAAGCUUUAUAAAUUUACAUGUUUUGCCUUAUCGGAGCCUUUACAACAUAUAGGAAUGAUCAACAAAUACAAAACUAGAAUUCAGAUGCCUCUAGUUUUUCACAACUACUCAAUAAAAAAAUUGUUCUUCGUCAAUCAUGUAUUUAAAGUAAAUAUUAUUAGUGACACAAAACAACGAAUUUCAUGUCAACUGAGUGAAAUAUCUAGUGGUCUAUGCUUCAUGGUGACAAUUGUCUAUGCAAAAUGUGAUGGGAAUCUAUGGUUGGAACUUUGGGAUGAUUUACUCUAUUUCCAAUGGACAGCCAGGUCCUUGAAUAAUAUAGGGUGAUUUCAAUAUUGUUCUUAAUGGAUCUGAGAAUAUUGGUGGAACUCUAGUUUCUUCUAUUGAUGUGGACAAUUUAUAGAACUACAUAGAGUCUUGUAAUGUUCACCAGGUGCAAUAUAAGGUAGCCCCUUUACUUGGUGGAAUGGCAGAGGAGGAGUUGAUUGUAAUUAUUAGAGACGAUAGAGUUUUAAUUAAUUCUAAGGUCCAGAAUAUUUUUCAUAUUUUGAGAUUGAAUAUUUAUCAAGAAAUAGAUCAGAUCAUGCUCAUUUGCUUCAUAAAUUUAAAAUAGAUCGGUCAAAACUCAAAGACCUUUUAAAUUUUUGAAGUUUUGGACUGACCAUGCAGAGUUCAAAGAGGGUUGGAAGAAAUUGGGAUACUAGUUUCACUGAGAAUACAUUUAUGGAUUUUAAAAGGAAGAUCAAGCAAGUGAAACAAGCCCUUACCAAGUGGAGUAUCCAAGUUCAUGCAGAUAUUUUUCAACAGCUUCUCAUUAGAGAGAAAAUUUCUAUAUUGAAGGAGAAGUUCUUUGAAGAUAACCCUACAAAGGAUAAUAGAAUUGUAAUGAAACACCCUAGAUUUUCGCCCUUGGAAAUUUCUUGAUCUUUGAGCUCACUACCUUGCUUAUGACUUGACCAUACGAUUCAUAUGGUGUCGUGACGGGUCAGGUGACCCUAGUAGUAAGUUGUCUAGUGGAUGGUGGUUGUGUUUUCUAUCUUGGUUGCAACUAUGUGAUAUGAGUCGUUAAGCGUGGUGAUGAGUACUUAGGACGAACCUUAACCAAAUUAGUAACUUAGUAGCUUGACUCUGCUCUGAGUAUGAGUGGCUCACUAGAAGUUGUGAGAAUAGGUUACAAGUCGUGAGGUGAAGUCAUAGGUUGUCCAGUGUCUGACCUAUUUGGGUACUGUGAUGGUUACGACUAGACCCUAUGAGUAGUUGGGUCAGGUCACAAGUGGAAUCAUGGAGUCGUAAGGUGGAUAGUGUAUGGGUAUCCAACUCACUGUCUAGGAUACGACUCAAGGCUACGAGUCGUAUUAUGCGGUGACGAGUCAUUGGGUUGACUCUUAACUAAAGAUGGCUUUUUACAGGUUUUAAGCUGGGGGUAUUUUGGACAUUUCCCACUUUAAUUCCCUUUGAUACCAUGCCUCAACACCUUCCUUGGGACUUCAUUUAACACAUCAUUCCUAAUAAAACACUCUUAAAUUAUAUCUCAAACCUCUGUUCAAGCUAAAGCUAGGGUUUCAUCAAGUUAAUCCAUUAGUGCUUUCAAGGGUGAUAUCUCUUCGUACAUCUUGGUGUCUAAGGAAUGUUACUCCUCCCUCAUUGUUAUUUUACUUACAACACAUGUUUUAAUGUAUGGCUUUCAUGGUAUUGAAAUGAAGACUGGGUUUUUUGAAUUCUUAAUGUUUAAUGAUGUUUUCAUAUGGUUUAAAGGUUUUCCAUGUUUUAAAUAUGGUUUUGAACAUGUGGGUGCAUGGGUAUGGAAAUUGAUAAUGGUAACUUUCUCUAAACUUGUGACUUUUGAAGUGGUUAUAACCCUAAACCUGUAUUGUGAAACUGGCUAGUAGUUAUGAGAAAUGUGGAAAUUUGAAUUAAAGGUACAAUGGAAUCCCCAAAGUGCUUGGUUUGACUUAUUUCUUGAAACUAAUGCAUGUUUUAAAGUGUUAAAUGGUGAAGUAUUGUUUUGAAAACCUAGUGGGGUACACGAGAAUCCCCUAAGUGAUUAUAUAAUGAAAACCUUAUCAAGUGUAUGAGAACCCGCCAAGCGAUUUUAACAAUGUAGUAUGCAGGGUACAUGGGAAUCCCCCAAGUAUUGGCUACUGACAUUACUUGCAAGCUAUAGUCGGUAUGACAAUACCACUUUAUAAUGCCUUAAUAAUUGACUCCUGGAAUUGGUGGUUUGGCUGUGUAAAAUGUUUUAAUUCGGAAAUAAUGGGGGUUAUGAUAGCUAGUCGUGAAGGUGUUAGCCCGAUGAACGGACACUGGAAACUCAUGUUUGCCAACAUGAUGGUUGGUCUUGAUGACCAUGUGCUUGUGGGGGGUACAAGGGAAUCCACCAAGUUUAUAGAUGUAUAUAUAUAUCAUGAAUGGUGAUGGGUACACGAGAAUCUGUGGCCUUCUAUGAUAUCUUUGGUUCGUGCAGCUACACAUAGUGGGGCUCGUUCAGGGCAUAACAUUGGACCCAUAUAGCCCGUGGGUGGACUUAUGACGAUAAAGCUACACAAUCCAAGUUAAGGAUUUAAAUGCAUGCCAAACCUUAUUCCCUAUCCCGACACAGUAUAUAUGUAUAUAUAUGGGACUGUAUAUGGUUAUUUGGCUUGUUUUUUAAUUGAUGGAAUUAUUUUAUCUUUAUACCUGAGUUAUAUGCUAGAGUUUACUUCGCUAACCAUCUUCAGGCGCUGUAUCCUCAUGCAAUGCUAGAGUUUGCCAUACUUUCACUCCUCCUACUCAAUGACUUGGUGAUUCGGGGACAACUUUUGAGUCAGAUUGAAGUAGUGAGCUUCCAUACUCCGAAAUACCCCAUUUUAUGCUAUUGACUUCUUUAUAUCAUUUUUAUCUCUUUGGUUUUGGGUUUGGAUGUGCUUGGGGGCAUGUCUCGAUAGGAUAUUCUCUAUAGGCAGAAAUUUUAAUGGACUACUAUAGGCAUGGGUGGUGUCGGCAUUAGUGAUUGCAUUAGUAUUGGUAUUGGCAUUCGGAUUGGUAUUGGAUGGUUAAUUUGUUGUGGCUUUGGAUUUUUAUUUUAGACUUAAUUUAAUGUCUAUAAUUUAAUAUUGUCUUGUUAUAUCUUUGUAAUUCAUCCGACAUAGGGCUUAGGGUGGUUAAUGGUUUGGGUAUUGGGGGUGGUUUCCGGUCCUGAUUGGACUUGAGAUACACGACACGACUAUGCUAUGGUUCGAGUCAUGUUAGAUUGGUAUCAGGGCCCUAGGUUCAUGAUCAAUUAGGUGUCCACAAAGCUGUGUCAAGUAGAGUAUCUUUUAAGGGUGUUUAGCAAGCCAAACUCAUAAGGGUUAUCUUUCUUGUGUUCUAUUUUUAGACUGUAGAGUCUAAGGUCCUAAAAUCUUCACUAAUUCCCUCUUGUUUACUUUUUAGAUCAUGCCUCCCAAAUGAUCUGAAGCUCACGAAAACUCCUCUGUCUCAUCCGAGGACAACAUUGAUGGUACAUGUCCUACUUAUAGGCUUCAGACCCAGUAUAGGUAUCCAAUUCCUGAUUGGUCUUCUGAAUGAACUCCACCAGUCCCCUCCAGUCCUUCUCGAGCUCCACAGACUAAUAUAAAGAAUGUCGAGUUUUGUCAGUCUAUUUAUGUGUUGCCAUAGUUGGUAGCUUCUUAGUCUGAGCGUCCAAGUGUCGUGCUUUUGUUACUCCAUCUUCUGAGGCCACAAGGGUUGGCUAGUUUAUGAGGUUGAACCCUCCAACCUUUACUUUUGUAAAGGUCGAGAAAGAUCCACAAAGUUUUCUUAAUGAGAUAGAAAAGAUAUUCAAUGUGAUACAUGCCACUAAUAUAGAGGGCGUGGAGUUUCCCGCCUACCAAUUAAUAGAUGUAGCUUAUCAGUGAUAGUAGGAAUGUGACCAGCCAAGGGGUGACAAUACUGAGUCAGCCCUGUGAGAUAAUUUUUCUAAUAUUUUUCUGGACUGCUUUUUUCCUCAAGAGCCGAGAGAGAUGAAAUCAAAAGAGUUUGUUAACCUAAAGCAAGGCAAGAUGUCAGUUAAGGAGUAUGACUUGAAGUUUCACCUAUUAUCCCGAUAUACACCGGAGUUGGUUUCUAGCAUAAGGGCUAGAAUGAGGAAGUUCGCUUUCAGGUUGUAUCUAGACUUGAUUUUAGAGAGUAAAGCUGCCUUGCUGAACAAGGACAGACAUCUCCAAGCUAACUGUGUAUAUGAAAUAGGUCGAGGAAGAGAAAAAAAAGUAGGCGAAGAUAGGGAGAGCAGAGCAAGAAGUUCAAAUUUUCUGAGCAGGGUGGAGGUUAACAAUAAAGUGUCAGGGUUGGUGGAAAGUGGUCUAAAAAGAAGGGGGCAAUUUUGGGUCCUACUCGACAGUUAGAGAUCCCUACCCAAAGUUGUCUGGUUAAAGACAUUUUCAGGGUGGUGAAAAUUACAAGGUACAGGGUGCCCAAUCUCAAGCUAGUGGGGCCCAAUCAGCUCCAUCAUAUCCUCCCUACAAAUUUUGUGGUCAACUAUAUUGGGAUUUCAGUGAUGAGGGAAGGGACAAGUGCUUCAAUAAUGGUCAACCAGUGCAUAUGCUUAGAAAUUGUCCAGUGGCCAAGGUUGCUUAGGGGGCAAACAAGGUUCCGAUUGCCUCUUCUUCAACUCGGACACAAAAGGGUUCACCAUCUUGCUUCGGCACUGGUCAAAACCGACUCUAUGCUCUCACUACCUACCAGGAGUCCGAGGCAUCCCUAAUGUCAUUAUUGGUACAUUGAAACUUUUUUCAUGUGAUGUGUACUAUUUACUUGAUCCCGGGUCCACUCUUUCUUAUGUGACCCCAUUUGUGGUUGUGCAUUUUUUAUUUGGUCCCGAGUAUAUUUUGGACCACUUUUCUAUUUCUAUCCUGGUGGGCGACUCUGUGGUUGCUACAAGAGUCUAUAAGGGUUGUGUGGUAACUAUGGGUGGUUGGGAGACUUUGGUAGAUCCGUUUGAAUUAGACAUCGUUAAUUCUGAUGUCAUAUUGGGGAUGGAUUAGUUCCACCCGUGCUAUGCUUCUCUAGAUUGUCUGAACCAUAAGGUCAUCUUUAAAUUCCCUACUGAGCUAGUUAUUGUGUGGGAGGGUGGUUCUCUAGGGUGCUAAUGAAAGGUUCCUACCGUAUCUUAAAACCCGAAGAUUAAUCUCUAAGGGGUGUCUCUACCAUCUGGUCUGGGAUAAAGAUUCUAAUGGAGGGUUCUUCUUUACAUUUUGUCCUAGUGGUGAAUGAAUUUUCUGAGGUUUCCCUUGAUGAUUGAUGACCUUCCUGGUGUUCCUUUUGAUAUGGAGAUUGAUUAAGGGAUUGAUAUGGUUUCGGACACUCGUCCUAUCUCUAUUCCCCCAUACAGAAUAACUCCAGCGAGUUAAAGAGCUUAAGGAGCAAUUAAAGCAUCUUUUAGACAAGGGUUUUAUCCAUCCUAGUGUAUCCCCAUGGGGUGCACGGGUGUUGUUCGUGCGUAAGAAGGAUGGGUCCCUUCAUAUGUGUAUUGAUUACCGACCAUUGAAUAAAGUAACGGUAAAAAAUAAAUACCCUCUUCCAAGGAUAAAUGAUUUGUUUGAUCGGCUUCAGGGUGCUAAGUUCUUCUCCAAGAUCGAUCUUCGAUCCGGGUAUCAUCAGUUAAAGAUUAUGGAGGUGGAUAUCCCUAAGACGGCCUUCUAUACCCGAUAUGGCCAUUUUGAGUUGUUGGUUAUGUCUUUUGGGUUGUUCAUGGACUUGAUGAAUAGGGUUUUUCGUAAGUUUCUGGGUUUGUUUGUCAUUGUAUUCAUAGACAAUAUUCUGGUAUACUCUAAGAGCGAGGUGGAUCAUGUCGAUCACCUCCGCAUUGUAUUGCAGACCCUGAAAAAUCAGCAGUUGUGUGCCAAAUUUUUGAAAUGCGAAUUUUGGUUUAACGCUGUCACUUUUUUGGGUUGUCAUAUCUAGUGAAAGGAUCAUGGUGAAUCCAUAGAAAGUUACAGUGGUUAAGAGGUGGCCUAGACCUAUGACUCCAGCCGAUAUUCGGAGAUUCUUAGGUUUAGCUUAUUAAUAUAGGAGAUUUGUGGAGAGUUUUCCACUAUAGCUUUCCCAUUGACUAAGUUAACUCUGAUGAAGGUAAAGUUUUUAUGGUCCGAUGCUUGUGAGGGUAGUUUUGUGAAACUGAAGAAUAAGCUGACUUCGACUCCGAUCUUGACCAUGCCUGAAGGCACUGAUGGCUUUAUAGUUUACUGCGAUGCAUCCCGUGUGGGGCUCGACUAUGUUUUGAUGCAACAUGGCAAAGUGAUAGCUUAUGCCUCCAGAUAGUUGAAGGUGCAUGAGAAGAAUUAUCCGACUCAUGACUUGGAGUUGUUGGCUGUGGUGUUUGCAUUGUAACUAUGGUGUCACGAUCUUUAUGAAGUGCAUGUGGAUAUCUUUUCAGAUCAUAAGAGACUAUAGUAUGUGUUUACCAGAAGGAGCUAAAUCUCAGUGAAAGGAGAUAACUUGAGCUGCUCAAGGACUAUGACAUGAGUCUGCACUACCAUCCAGGUAAAGCUAAUGUGGUUGUUGAUGCUCUUAGAAAGUUAUCAUUGGGAUUCUAUCUUAUGUAGAUAAGAAGAAGCGAGAAUUGGUGAGAGAUGUUCACUGUUUGGCUAACCUUGGAGUUUGCUUCUUGGACUCGAAAGAUGGUGAUGUGAUUGUAUAGGAGGUGGCAGAGUCAUCUCUUUGUGCUAAGGUGAAAGAGAAGCAAAUGUUAGAUCCUAUCUUGUUACAACUAAAGGUUUACAUAGAAGGGCAGAGAGUGAUGGCCUUUGAGGUUAGUGGUGAUGGUACCUUGCGGUGCUAAUGGAGAAUAUAUGUUCCUGAUGUAGAUGGAUUGUGAGAGAGGAUCUUAGCUGAGGUGCAUGAGUCACGUUCUACCAUUCAUCUUGGUUCGAUGAAGAUGUAUCAUGAUCUCAAGGAUAUCUAUUGGUGGAACAAUAUGAAGCGGGAUAUAGCUAGAUUUGUGGCUAAGUGCCUGGUGUGUCAGCAAGUAAAAGUUGAGCACUUGAGGGACAGGGGAUUGUAUAAAGAAAUUGAGUUGCCUGUGUGGAAGUGGGAAGUGAUCAAUAUGGAUUUCAUUACUGAUAUUUCUCAGUCUCAGAAUCAGUUUGAUUCAAUUUGGGGCAUUGUGGAUAGGAUGAAUUAGUCUGCUCACUUUUUGUUAGUGAAGACAAAAUUCUCGACGGAGGAUUAUGCCAAAUUGUUUAUUAAGGAAAUUGUGAAGUUGCAUGGGCCACCUAUUUCUAUCAAGUACGAUCGUGGUGCCCAGUUCUCAUCACACUUUUGGCAGCCAUUCAGAAAUGUUCGGGGACUAAAGUGAAUCUUAGUACGACUUUCCAGCCGCAAUUAGAUUGGCAAAAGAAAGGACUAUUCAGACAUUGAAAGAUAUGUCCCGAGAUAGCGUGAUUGACUGUUAUGAUAGUUGGGUUGAGCAUUUGCCUCUUAUAGAGUUUGUGUAUAAUAAUAGAUACCAUUCUAGCAUUAGGAUGGCUCCGUUUGAGACCUUGUAUGGUAGGAGGUGUAGGUCUCUUAUUAGGUGGUUCGAGGUUGGUGAGGCGGAGAUAUUUGGCCCGAAUUUGGUUCACCAAGCCAUAGAUAAGGUGAAGGUGAUUCAGGAUAGGAUCAAAGCCACCUAAAGUCUUCAAAAGUCUUAUGCGGAUAUGAGGCGUAGGAAGUUAGAUUUUGAGGUUGGGGAUAGGGUGUUCUUUAAGGUAUCUUCCAUGAAGAGGGUAAUGCGGUUAGGAAAGAAAGGGAAGCUCAGUCCCCAGUGUGCUGGUCCAUACUUGGUUUUGAGAAGGUUUGCAAUAUUGCGUAUGAGUUGGAGUUGCCCUCUCAUUUGAGCUCCAUUUACCCAGUGUUCCAUGUGUCUAUGUUGAGAAAGUGUGUGGGUGAUCCGUCACAAACUGUGCCUAUCAAUGAUAUUGGUAUUUUUGGAUUCCCAGUCUUACAAGGAAGUCCCUAUUGAAAUUUUUGACUGGCAAGUUCACUGGUUGCGGACCAUGGACGUAACUUUGGUAAAGGUUCUUUGGAAGAACCACAUGAUCGAAAAGGCAACUUGGGAAGCCGAAGAGGACAUGAAUUCCAAGUAUCCAUUCUUGUUUUCCUCUCUGAAAAAUCAUGCGUAAGGUAUGUAUUGGUCUUAACAUCUUUGUUUUCUGACUUUGUUAAAGGAAAAAUUGAUUUCCUUGGCAUCUUUGUUUACUAGCUUAGUUAAAGGUAAUAGUCGAGAUGUUAGGGUUUAAUCGUGAUAAACAAUGCCUUGUCCCAUCAUUCGAGGAUGAAUGAUCCAAAUGGGGAAGAAUUGAAACACCUUAGAUUUUGGCCCAUGGAAAUUUCUUAGGCUUUGAGCUCACUGCCUUGCUUACGACUUGACCAUACAAGUCAUGUAGUGUCUUGACGGGUUAGGUGACCUUAGUCAUAAGUUAUACAGUGGAUGGUAGUUGUGUUUUCUUUCUUGGUUACGACUUAGGUGAUAUGAGUCGUUAAUGGUAGUGACGAAUUGUUAGGACGAACCUUAACCAAAUCAGUAACUUAGUGGCUUGACUCUACUCUGAGUAGUAGUGGUUCACUAGGAGUCAUGAGAAUAGGUUACGAGUCGUGAGGUAAAGAUGUAGAUUGUCCAAUGUCUAACCUAUUUGUGUACUGUGUUGGUUACAACUAGACCCUAUGAGUCAUUGGGCCACAUUACAAGUAGGAUCUUGGAGUUGUAAGGUGGAAAGUGUAUGGGCGUCUUAACUCACUGUCUAGGAUACGACUCAAGGCUACGAGUCGUAUGAUAUGGUGACAAGUCAAUGGUUGACUCAUAACCAAGGAUGAAUUUUUACAGCUUUUAAGUGAGGAUAUUCUGGACAUUUCCCAUUUCAAGUCCCUUUGAUACCACAACUUAAAACCUUCUGUGGGACUUCAUUAACACCACAUUCCUAAUAAAAUCCUCUCAAGUUCUCUCUCAAACUCUUUGUUCAAGCUAAAGAUAGGGUUUCAUCAAGAUAAUCAAUUAGAGCUUUCAAGGGUAAUUUCUCUUUGUACUUCUUGGUGUCUAAGGCAUUUUACUCCUCCCUCAAUGUUAUUUUACUUAAAGUACAUAUUUUAAUAUAUGGCUUUCAUGAUAUUGUUGUGGUUUUGAAAUAAAGGUUGGGGCCUUUGAAUAUUUAAUGUUGAAUGAUGUUUUCCCAGGAUUUAAUUAAGGUUUUCCAUGUUUUAAAUAUGGUUUUGAACAUGUGGUUGCAUAGGUAUGGUGAUUAAACUUAAUAAUGUUAACUUCUCUAACUUGUGACUUUUGAAGUAGUUUUGACCCCAAUCCUGUUUUGUGAAACUUGUUAGUAGUUAUGAGAAAGGUGGGAAUUUGAAUUUUAAGGGUACAAUGGACUCCCCAAAGUGCUUGGUUUGACUUAUUUAUGAAACUAACGCAUUGUUUAAAUGGUUAAAUGGUUAAGAAUAGUUUUUGAAAACCUUGUGGGGUACACAGGAAUCCCCCAAGUGAUUAUAUAAUGAAAACCUUGUGGGGUACACGGAAUCCCCUAAGUGAUUUUAGCAAUGGAGUCUGCGGGGCAUAUGAGAAUCUCCUAAGUGUUGACUAAUGACAUUGCUUACAAGCUGUAGUCGGUAUGACAAUACCACUUUAUAAUGCCUUAAUAAUUGACUCCUGGAAUUGGUGGUUUGGUUAUGUGUAAAAUAUUUUAAUUGGGCAAUAAUAGGGGUUGUGAUAGCUAGUCGUGAAAGUGUGAGUCCGAUGGACGGACACUGGAAACUCAUGUUUGCUGACAUGAGGGUUGGUCUUGAUGACCAUGUGCUUGUGGGGUACAAAGGAAUCCCCCAAGUCUAUACAUGUAUAUAUGUAUCAUGGAGGGUGAAAGGUGCAUGGGAAUCCCCUGCCUUAGAUGAUAUCUCCGAUUCGUGUGGCUACACGCACUGGGUCCCAUUCAGGGGGUAACACUGGACCCAUAUAGCCCGUGGAUGAACUUAUGACGGUAAAGCUACACAAUCCAGGUUAAGGAUUUCAAUGCAUGCUAAACCUUGUUCCCUAUCCGGACACGGUAUAUAUGUAUAUAUAUGUGAUUACAUAUGGUUAUUUGACUUGAUUUUGAAUAGAUGGUGUUACUUUGUCUUUAUCCCUUAGUUACAUUCUAGCGUUCACACCGCUAACCGUCUCUAAGUGAUGUAUCCCCACGUGAUGCAAGAACCGGUCUUACUUCUACUCUCCCUACCCAGUGACUUGGUAAUUCGGGGAUAGCUUUUAAGUCUGACUAAAGUGGUGAGCUUCCAUACUCCAGAAGACCCUAUUUCAUGUUAUGGACUUCUUUAUAUUAUUUUUAUCUCUUUGGUUUUGGUUUUGGCUUUGGUUAAGGGCAUGUAUCGACUGGAUAUUAUUUUAUUUUGGUUAGAGGCUUUUCUGGAAUACUAUGGCAUGGUGGUGUCGGUAUUAGUGAUUGCAUUGGUAUUGGUAUUGGGAUUGGGAUUGGAUAGUUAAUUGAUUGUGGCUUUCGAUUUUAAUUUUAGACUUAAUUUAAUGUCUUUAAUUUAAUAUUGUCUUAUCUUGUUAUAUGUUCAGAAUUCAUCCGACAUGGGGAAUAGGGUGGUUAAUGGUUGGUGGUAUCCGGUCCUAGUUGGACUUGAGAUACCUGACACGACUAGAUCCUGGUUUGGGUCGUUUCAUGUAAUAAAAAAAGCAAAGGUUGAAUAUAACAGGUUUUUUAUUGGCAACAGGUUGGUCUGAAAGUAAAGAAAUACAAAGUUCUUUCAUUGUGUUGUUAAAGGUAGGAGAAACCGGCUGAAGAUUUCAAGAAUAUUAAAUAAUCAAGAUAGUUGGCUAGAACAUGAAAAUCAAAUUGCUGAUGAGGCUAUAUUAGUUUCUACCACGAGAAGUUUUCACAAGAGAGCGAUGUUUCUGCCUUCCCUUUAAUUGAUCAUAUUCCUGAGCUAGUUACUAAUGAGGACAAUGAUGUAUUAGAAGCUCCUCCUGAGAUGGAAAAGGUUAAACAGGUUAUGUUUAACUUAAUUGGAGAUAGUUCUUGUGGACCAGAUGACUUAUUUGGGAGGUUCUUUCCUAUUGAGACAUUGUUGGAGGUGAUAUUUUUAGACAGGUUUUGAGCUUUUUUGCAGGAUGUUCACUUCCUAAAUCUGUUACUCAUUCUAAUUUGGUUCUUAUUCCUAAAAAAGAUAAUGUGCAAUCUUCUUUAGACUUGAUACCUAUUAGUCUCAGUAAUUUUAUGAAUAAAAUCAUGUCCAGAAUUAUGCAUGAUGCAUGAUAGGCUGGAAAGCAUUCUACCUAGAUUGAUUUCUCCUGCUCAAUUAGGAUUUGUUGUAGGAAGGAGCAUUAUUGAAAUUUUUUGAUGACUCGGGAAUUGAUAGUAAAUAUUGGAAAAAGAGGGCACCCUUCUAAUAUUGUGAUGAAACUAGAUAUGGCUAAAGCAUGUGACAGGAUCUCUUAGUUUUUCUUGAUAAAAGUUAUGAGGAUAAUGGGCUUCUCUAAUAGGGUGAUUGAUGUGAUAUGGAGAUUCAUCUCUAAUAAUUAUUAUUCAAUACUAUUGAAUGGUCAAUCAACAGGUAUUUUUCACUCUAUUAACUGGUGAAGCAAAUAUGUCCUUUAUAUCCUGCCUUUUUUAUAUUGUCCGCAAAUGUGAUGACAAGGGCUCUCAAUCAGUUGUUUAAUGAUCAUGGUUUUGUUGAGUAUGGAAUGCCUAAGAGGAUCUCUAAUUUUAACCAUUUGGCAUAUGUUGAUGGUACAGUUAUUUUUUCCUCUUCAUUUAGGUAUUCAAUGGAGAACAUUAUGAAGAUUUUGCAAGAAUAUGAGCUAGAAUCUUGUCAGAAGGUGAAUAGGAACAAAAGCUUUUUCUACAUGUAUCAGAAUGCACCAAAGGGAGAGGUACAAAAUAUGGAGAAGAUUCCAGGUAUGAUAAAAAUCUCUUUUACUAUCAAAUUCUUGGCUACCUUUUAUCGCAUUCAAAUAAGAAGAAAUAACACUAUGCAAAGUUGAUGGACAAAGAUAAGAGUAAGUUUCAAGUUUCGAAAAGAGGCUAUUAUCCUUUGGAGGUAAAGAAGUUCUCAUCAAAAGUGUAAUGAAAAGAAUCCCAAUUUAUGUCUAUUCUAAAAUUGUUCCUCCUCAAAGUGUUACCAAAGAACUUCAGAGGAUUUUUUCUAAAUUCUUUUGGAAAAACAAGGCAGGAAAAGGCAAAUGUUGGGCUGCUUUGGAUAAGGUUUUAUUACCUAUGUUGCUCGGACUCGGCUGUUUUGCCGCCGAACCCGUCUCGACACGAGACUAAGGCGGGGAUGGGUGCUUUCGCCGUCUCCGAUUCGGUCAACCGAUUUCGGAGACGUUGAUCGAAAUAAAGAAGAAAUUUAACUGGAAACAUUGAAUAAUUAACCGGCAACUUACCUGAAUCUCAACCAACGACCACCGGAAUAGAAACGGCAUUGUCGGAAAUCAUCGGCGCAGACGUCGUACCACCUCAGGGUACCGGAAAUCAUCGCCGUACUCUAUCAUCGGCGUAGUCGUGUUUACAUAGUGACGGUUAUUUUUUUCCAAGUCAAAGUGUGUUUUGAAACUUGUCUUUUCUUUUUACUAUUUUUAAUUAAUAUUUAGUUCCUUUACUAUUAAUAAUUAAUUAAUAAUAAUCUAUUGCCAGCACUGUCUGUCGGUGAGUGUAUUUUACUUUGACAGCAUUAAAUUUAACUUCUUAAUUAUAUUUAUUUUUUAUUUUUAGUAAAUAAACGUGAGUUAUAAUUUUGGAAAAAUUUGUUAAUACAAAUACUAUUCCUAAUUGAAAAGUAAAAUCAGAAGACAAAAAUAACUAAAAAUAGCAAAUUAACUAAAAUAAAUAAAGUAUUUUUAGAAUAUCUUUAUAACUCUAUAUUUAUAAUAUUUAAUUUUUUUUAGCCGAAUCCCCGCACCCUUAUCCACACUCGGAUUCGCAUCCCCGAAUCUUAAAAUUUAUAUUUUGACGAAUCCGACUCUCGGAUUCGCACCCAUCUCGAAUACCCGCACCCGAGUCCGAGCAACUUAGUUUAUUACCCAUUCAAGAAGGGGGUUUGGGAUUCAGGGCUCUUAAUUAUCUGUCUCAAGCCUUGAAUGCUAAGUUGUAGUGGAGGUUUAGGACUCAAACUAACUUUUGGACUGAUUCCUUUUGGAGUAAGUACUAUGAGAAACAACUACCUACUUUGGUGCAAUGGAGAGGAGGAUCCUAAGUGUGGAAGGCUAUGUUGAAUGUCAGGGACAAGGUUGAACAAGAUUUGUGGUGGGAAUCUAAAAGUUGAACCUCUACAAUCUGGUUUGACAAUUGACCAAUACUGGUCCAUUGCUUAAAUAGCAGUCUAACAUUCAAACAUGUCACCCAUAAAAAGAAAUUACUGAAUUUAUUAGGGAAAAGGGUUGGAAUUAUAAGAACAUGGAGAAUGAGGUCCCUAAUCAUGUAGUGAAGCAUGUACGAGAUAACAAGAGAUAUUUAUGAUAUGAAGAUGUGAUGUAUAAACCUUGGUGGACAAAAAAUAGUAGGGGUAAGUUAACGACCAAAAGUGCUUGGGAUUUAUUAAGGGAAAAAACUGUUGGGAAUGACGAUUUAAAGGCUAUUUAGAUAAAAUGAUUGCCUUUUAAAUUUGCUUUCAUAAAUUGGAGAAUAUGGCAUUCUUUCAUUCCAGUUUCAGCAAUAAUGCACAAUUGGAAUUCAGAUAUUGUUGAAAGGUGUGGUUGUUGUAGCAAUCCGAAAAGAGAAACCAUCCAACAUAUAUUUGUUAACAGGGAGAUAGCUGACAAGUGUGGAAUUACUACUAUGGUGUAGUUGGUAUUGCAGAAUAAAGGAUUAAUCUAAAGCUGAGUAUGACACUGUGGAGGAAUAAUGAAGGAAAUUGCAAAAUAAAUAGUGUUCAAAGUGAUUUAUAUGAUAAUUUUUUGGUUUUCAUGGAAAAUAAGAAACACCUUACUUCAUGGUGGUUCUUAUGAUGAAAACAAGAUAAUUUGGGAGAUUAAUGAUACCAUUAUUAAGUUCACCAAGAUUAGGCUUCAUAUGGACAUAUCAGAAAGAGAGUGGGCUAAUAUUGUUGAUGUUCUACAGAGUUACAGAAGUUCCUAUUCUUUUAAAGAGGUUAAAUGGAUGCCCCCCGAAACUGGUUGGGUAAAAGGAAACACAGAUGGUGCUUCAAAAGGAAAUCCUAGGCUUAGCUCUACUUCUUUUGUAUUACAAAUCAUGUUGGUGAAUUAGUGGUGGCAAAAGGGUGCCGAAUCAAAGAUACCAAUAGCCUAAUGGUUGAAGCCUUGGCAAUAAGGGACUGCCUAUAGUAAUGUACGUAGAUUGUUUUGGAGCAUGUUUCAAAUACUAAAGAAUGAUUGGGAAGUGCCAUGGAGUGUGCCAAUGGUGGUCAACUCCAUUAGAGUACUGAUGGAUACCAUAUCAGCAAGAGUGGUACAUUUCCUUCGGGAAGGUAACACUCUAGCUUUUUAUUUUACUAAUUUAGUAUUUGUUUUUGCAGGUGAUUUUGAAUUCAACAAUUUAGAACAAAAUCUAGUGGAAUGAAGGAGUAUUAUCAGAUUAGAUAAGGCAAGUACACCUAAUAUUAGAAGGACUACUCAUGAUCCAGAAUAACAAUAUCAGCAAUAGGAAAUAAAUGAAGAAGGAUCAUGAAAUAUCUAGUUCAGAAACAUCACAGAUGUAGGAUUUUAAGCACUAUCAAAUCUAUAGUCGAGGGAAACAGUUCAUAGCAUGAAUAGGAUUGAUUUCACAACUCUGUAAUUUGGAAUUCAGUAGUCAGCAGUCUUUAAUUAGACCUUAAACAUGGAAGUAAAUCAGUGAAAAUAGGGUUUACACAUUCUCCAGAUAGGAAUGAACAUAGAAAUGUUUGUACCUGUUGUUUGAAGUGACUUCCACCGAAUAUCAACACCUACAUCCAGUGAUAGUUUGGGACAUUUUAGGGUCGUGUAUUCAAACAUAAGUAACAUCAGAUCUAGCUUGAGCAUUUCGAGUUGAAGGUUGGACUAAUCCCAUUACACAAACAUAUGAUUUAUCAAGGACCUUUGUUAUUAUUGAUUCAUUCUUAUUAGCUCAGGUAUGGUAUUAUUUAAUACGAGAUCGAGAUGGAUGUCUUCUGAGCACCAUAACCAACUCAAAAGAGAAUGAAGAAAGUAAGAGAAAAGGUUGGUUACUUAUCUAAUGCGAGAUGGAGAUGGAUCUCUUCUCAGCACUAUAACCAACUCAAUCUCACCAUGGGCACAACUCAUAAGGUCGAAGAAGACAAAUCAACAGCUAGGUUAGAGAGGAAGAACUAGAGUUCUCUCCUUUUCCUAAUUCUGAUGUGAGGGACAGUUGACUUGUCUGAUUUUAUUAGUAUCGGGUUUGGGUCAGGCCACUUUUGGCCCUAUCUUUGUAAAUAUUUUGGACUCUUUCUUGGUUUAGUAAUAAAAGGAUAUAUAUAUAUAUAUAUAUCAAACUUAACUUUAAUGGAAUGAUUUUUU
Molecule: long non-coding RNA, 17381 nt
Filed under: Capsicum annuum
Lineage: Eukaryota; Viridiplantae; Streptophyta; Magnoliopsida; Solanales; Solanaceae
Description: long non-coding RNA (CANN_LNC006653)
Source: RNAcentral